Molecule: ribosomal RNA, 813 nt
Filed under: Enterococcus faecium
Lineage: Bacteria; Bacillati; Bacillota; Bacilli; Lactobacillales; Enterococcaceae
Description: bacterial SSU rRNA
Rfam family: Bacterial small subunit ribosomal RNA
Source: RNAcentral
UCCAUUGGUAGCCGUGAAAUGCGUAGAUAUAUGGAGGAACACCAGUGGCGAAGGCGGCUCUCUGGUCUGUAACUGACGCUGAGGCUCGAAAGCGUGGGGAGCAAACAGGAUUAGAUACCUGGUAGUCCACGCCGUAAACGAUGAGUGCUAAGUGUUGGAGGGUUUCCGCCCUUUCAGUGCUGCAGCUAACGCAUUAAGCACUCCGCCUGGGGAGUACGACCGCAAGGUUGAAACUCAAAGGAAUUGACGGGGGCCCGCACAAGCGGUGGAGCAUGUGGUUUAAUUCGAAGCAACGCGAAGAACCUUACCAGGUCUUGACAUCCUUUGACCACUCUAGAGAUAGAGCUUCCCCUUCGGGGGCAAAGUGACAGGUGGUGCAUGGUUGUCGUCAGCUCGUGUCGUGAGAUGUUGGGUUAAGUCCCGCAACGAGCGCAACCCUUAUUGUUAGUUGCCAUCAUUCAGUUGGGCACUCUAGCAAGACUGCCGGUGACAAACCGGAGGAAGGUGGGGAUGACGUCAAAUCAUCAUGCCCCUUAUGACCUGGGCUACACACGUGCUACAAUGGGAAGUACAACGAGUUGCGAAGUCGCGAGGCUAAGCUAAUCUCUUAAAGCUUCUCUCAGUUCGGAUUGCAGGCUGCAACUCGCCUGCAUGAAGCCGGAAUCGCUAGUAAUCGCGGAUCAGCACGCCGCGGUGAAUACGUUCCCGGGCCUUGUACACACCGCCCGUCACACCACGAGAGUUUGUAACACCCGAAGUCGGUGAGGUAACCUUUUGGAGCCAGCCGCCUAAGGUGGGAUAGAUGAUUGGGGU